GUACUUGCUUUGGCAGCACAUAUACUAAAUUUGGACCGAUACAGAGAAGAUUAGCAUGGUCCCUGCACAGGAUGACAUACAAAUUCAUGAAGCGUUCCAUAUUUUG
This is a small nuclear RNA of Globicephala melas (long-finned pilot whale), 106 nucleotides long. The record is from RefSeq and is a predicted model, not a curated record. Lineage: Eukaryota; Metazoa; Chordata; Mammalia; Artiodactyla; Delphinidae.